GUAACAUGCGAGCCUGAGCUUCUUUAGGCAGUCCAUCAUAGUGUGAAGUUCAAAUGGAAAAACAAAUGUAGCCCAAUUGAAUACAAGUAGGCAGUGAUUAUGGGCAAUUAUCACCUGGAUCUUGGAACAUCCAAUUCUCUGACAGGCUAAAAGCUGCCAGACGCACAUUCUUAUCCUAGUAGCUGACUUGCUUCUGAGCACCAUCGGUUGUUCCUGUUUCAGAGCACUCAUUUUAAGUCAAAACUGCAGGUGCAUGAUUAAGAAGGCUAACACAGUCUUGUGGCCUCAUUCUUUGCAGGCAAAGGCCCUUGGAGAGAAAAUGCUACUCUGCUUUUCUGAGAAGAAGAUACGCAGCAGGCUGGAGACUAUAGGAUUUCCUGUCUACCUGCUUCAUUCCAUUGACAAGACACAGACAGUUAGGUUGCAGUUCUAUGUCCAUCUAUUUGGAAAAGAGGAAAACUACUGCUGUUCACAAGUCUUAAUUCCAAGGGGCUGAAUCGAGACAUAGUCAUGCUUAUAGUAGGCAAAUUGAAAUAAUGGAGACAAGUAAGCUAUUACUAGCUCAUGUUUCUUUGAUUUUAAUGGGACUGUUCAAUCCAGUAAGCCUGGAUUCGACCCAGUAAAUGUGUUUAGGACUGCAGCACCAACCACUGAUUACAAGGAAUUCUUGCAAUCACACACGUACAAAUGCUUUAUGAAACAGCAUUGAUAUCCUUUUUGUGAUUAAGGACCUGGUCCUAAAAUUGGAAUUUGGAAGAACAGUCCUUUUGUUAGUUGAGUCCAACAUGGUGUGGACCGAACUGAAAGAAGAACCUUGGUCUAACCAACACCUACCUCCAAAGAACUGAUUUAAAUGAUACCUUACUAUCUAAAUCAACAACUUGGUUUUUCACAUCUGCAAUAGUUUCUUGAUUGUUCGUUCCAGAUGACUUCAGUGGUUUUUCUCUGUUCUGCAAUGAAAUCAUUCCCCAUCAGAAGGUCUGCCUAUAAAAGAUAACCCUGCUGUAAUAUUACUGUUCUACUGGAGGACUUCUCCUCCCAAGAGCUAUUGCUCCCAGCAAUGGUGGAUGCCAUGGAAGCCUCCAAAUCAGGAGAGAGAGCACAGCUUCAUCCAUUGAGACAGAGGCUGCAUGACCCAGAGGGCAUCCGCACUUUAAGAAGUAAAUCAGGGUUCCUUUAAGAAGGACUCCUCAAGAAGAGGGCUCUUCUUAGAAUGUGCUGCAGCUGAGCCUUGUCUGAGGGGAUGGUUCUUAGUCUAGCCUUUGCUGACAACAGUGCUGGUUCUUCAGCAAUUUGUUCUUAAUAUUGUGGUUCCCUGAUUUGGACUUGUGCUUUUGUUUUUGACCUUUGGACUUCUGCCUGAUGCUGCCUUCUGGACUUUGAUUUUGCAUAACUAAACAGUGAGUGUUUGACCUUGGCUGUUCCUCUGACUCUUUGAUGAAAAAUCCAUGUGUUCACCAGUGUAACUGUCCCUGUCUUUUGCUUGCUUGAUUUCUCUAUUGUAAUCAUCUCUGUGUUUUGCAUAGAAAGAAAUGAAACUCGUUGAAGUAAAACUCUUAGCCUGAAUCAAACCAUCCAUCCAUCCAACUCAAUUCUGUCACCUUUUUAACUGCUGGCAGGAUCUGUUUUCAGGGUAAUCACAGCUGGAAAGCAUAAAAUUAAACUUGUCUCUCAGCACUACAGCUUCAAUCCAGAUUGGGGCAUAAACAGAGGUCUGCUACAUAGUAAGUAAAAUAAGAUGUUUGGACUGACCAAGGGAGCAGAUCCUGCCUGUGUGUCACUGAUGGCAUCCAUUUUCCAGAUAAUCAUGCUGAGUAAUUUUAUCAUCUCCACGUUGAGUGCAUAUAGAUAUCUAUAUUCUCCUACCUAUGUUUAGUGCUAAGCAGUUAAUAAUCCAAAGACCUUUAUCUGCAGCUGGUGAAAAUAUCCCCCACACUGGACACCAUGAUCAAUCCAUGCUGAACAUCUCUUUUACAUUUGAACAAAAUACACAAGGGCACGAAUGUACCUGAUGAGUUCUUGACCAACUCUCAGGGUUGCAUCUCAUAUUAGUCUAACCUAAGCCCUAUUCAUUUCAAUGGGACUACUCUGAUGUUGGACUACUGUUGGAUACAGUCUGGUUCCCAUGAUAAUUGCAAACCACUGUGGAGUAUUAGUCAUCAUGAUUUGUGGCACCCAUGGUUCCAGGUUGGCAAUUCAAGCACGUGCUGUUACAAUUUCUCAUUAUGCAGAAACUUGGUGGGGUGGGUUGUUGAGUGGCUGAAAAGCUACACAGGAAGCUACCCAUGGGCUGUUUUAGGGUUGUGGGUGGUUUGGGUUUUGAACUAUGCCAACUCCCCUUUUCUGUGCUUGCCCUUAACAAAAGGCUAUGGUGCAUCCCAAAUAUUCAAAUUGGCUACUACUAGCUUGAUAGGCUUCUUGUUAUGUGAACAUGGCAAUUAAGUACUGAUCUUGUGUGUGGAUUGUGUCCAUUAUUAUUUUCUUAGAAACAUCUGCUACAUUAGUAGGCAAAAAUGGAAAUCUAUAAAAAUCAUGGAUUUCCCCAAAUUUCUCAGUUCAUCCUUUGGUGUAAAAUUGGAAUAAGUCCACAAAAAAGGAAGUAUGGAGAACUUCCUGUUGACAUUGUUUCUCAGAAGGCUCAAUAUGUACCUUUUGUCCCUGGCCACCCAAUUACCCAAUCUGCAGAUAUGGAAGACAACAGUGCCAUGAACCUACAAACUUUACCACUAGCAGAAAUCAUGUGCCAUUAAAUGAACACAGCCAGUAUUCAAAGAUAUGUUGUACACUGAGAAUCACCACUGUUGUUAAAUCAAUAAAAGGAAAUUAAAGAUGGCAAUGUUGUCCCCAUCAAGCUUUAUGAAUUUUAGCCAGAGUCAAUUUCAAUCAAUGUUAAUGCUACCGCCCUCGCAACAUUAAUUGAUCUCUGGGACUUGCCAUUUUUAAUGGGAACAUUGUUUAUGAGCCCCCUUUUCUCAAAUGUAUUUAUUUAAAUUCUAUUCUGCCCAAGAGCAGAACCUCUCUGAGCAGUUCACAACAGCACAUUAAAAAACACAAUUUAAAUACACCAUAUUAAAACAUAACAAAACGUUUACAAUACAAGGUAGUUCCCAGAACUUGAUCAUACUGGCUGGGUAGCAGAAGUGUUCCAUCAGGUAUCGUGGUCCCAAUCUCUGUAGGGUUUUAUAGGUUAAAUCCAGUGCCUUGAAUUGGACUUGGAAAUAUAUAGGCAGCCAGAACAAGCUGGCCAGAACUGCUGUUAUGUGAUCAGGCUGUCUGAUCCCUGUGGAUCAUUGCCAGAACAGCAUUGAGCUAUAGUAAGCCAUCAUCCUUAUUUUCUUUUAUUGAUUUUGAUUUCACUGAAUACCAUAAACUUGUGAUCAUUUGUAAAUUAGCACACCACUUUUUUUUCCAAGAUGCUUUUUCACUCCAAACUGAACAGCCUUGAUUAAAUUCUGGCAAUGUAUUCACAUGGGUAACAUUUUCCUCCUGCUGCAGGCUGCUUUUGUGUCACCUCGGAUCUCCAGUUCUAGGCUUCCAAAUGCAAAACUGUUUUGAAAUUCAGCUCCAGCAGAGAUCAAUGAAAGGCUGGGAAUGGAAGAAAUUGCGCACAGAAGGCUACAUGAAUAAACCUGGUGUGUUUGCUUCCUAUGUCAGGGGGAACAGUCUUUCUGCCAGCAACAUUUGGGCCAUUUUCCUAACAACUUUUCAACCAACUGCUUUGGUAUUCUACGUAACCUCUAAGUAAUUCUGUUGUGUAUGGGUGGGUAUAUAUCCUACUUGCCCUACUCAAUGAAAGUUUUUUUAUUGAUUUCAGUGAGGAUAAGAGUAUUUUGUUAAUGAAUUAAUUACUGAUAAUGGCUACUGGAUAGUUCCUGGGGUGCUGUGCAUAUUCAUUUUCUUAUGCUCCAUACGUUUCCAACUUAUUCUGUGCACCUGGUAGUCUGAUCCCAGAAAUCUGCCUCACCCCACCUUUUCAUUCUUUUAGGACUGUAGGAUCUAUUCGAAGGUGUUGAGAAAAUUAAUUUUCUAGUAGCAAUAAAAAAAAAAAAAUAAAAAAAAGAUCAAAUUGUACAGGUUUUUUUUUUCAAGUUUUCACUUAAAUCAGCUUUAAAAAAAAUAAGUGGCAUGAACAGAAGGAUUUACUUCAAAUAUUAAUAAUAAUAUGCAGGUCUGAAUUUGGGUUGAAACAUGAUCUGCCCCGUUCCAUUUCAGAAUCCAUACCAUGUGGAGCAAACACUGGAUAGCUGGCUGGCUGGCUGUGUAUCAUAUAAUUAAUCAUGGACAUAAGAUUCAUGUGCACGGAGACUUAAGUUUUGGUUGUAUUAUCAAUUUGUAUUAUGCCACUUUCAAGCACUUUACCACUGCAGCCUUACUCAAGGCCUUUAUAUACAAUCACAUUAUUGGGGCUAAGUUAGAACUCUUUGAUGUCCCUAUUUGAUGUCCCUCUAGCUAAAAUCAAGCAAUUGUAUGCUAUGUGUCCAAAGAUGCAUGAAAUGUUUCCCACUCAACAAGAAUCUAAGACAGACACCAUGUGAUGUUUACUCCUCAGCUGAGCCCAUUUAUAGCUGUAUUACUCACCACUGUCCCCGUUAGUAUACAGGACCUUAAAAAAUAAUAAAACAUGCCCUUUAUACAGUUUCAAAUGAUGAGUGAUUGCUGAAUUAUACUCUUAAAGCUUCUUUAUAUGUUGUCCUCUGGGUAACAUGCAAGAGCUAUUGUAUUUGCAUGGACAAAAGUUUGCAAUUAAAUCACUUAUUGGACAGUUUAAGUGAAUGAAAUGAGGACAUGAGGUUUCAUAGUAGCAAUGCUAGUAAAAGAGAAUAGGAUUUUUUUUUCCUUUAGUCCAGGGUGGGGACGGGGGAAAGGGGAUCCUUCAGAUGUUGUUGGACUGAAACUCCCAUCAACCCUUGCCAGCACACACACUGGUGAAUGAAACUGGGAGCUGUAGUCGAACAACAUCUGGAGGGCCAGAUGUUUGUUAUCCCUGCUUUAGAUACAGGAAAAGUGUUUGUUCCCUUAGCAUUUAGACAAUAGUUUCAACAAAUAAACCUUUCUGAGGAAAAGGAGAUAAAAUAACUGUGCAAUUAUAUUUAUGCCUGCUGAGAAACCCACUGAGAGCAACAGGAUGUAUGGCUGAGCACAGGAUUGCAGCUGAAAUUCAGUAAAGUACAAACAGAAUGCAGUUCAAAUAUUCUUGCAUUAUGAAUUACAGCAAAGAAAGUUAGCAUCUGUCCAUUUAUUUUUCUCUGGCCUGAGCAGGAAUUUACCUUUGGCCUCUGCUUAGAAAUAACCUAGUGUGGUAAUGGAGUAUGAGCAACUUUUUCUCACUUUGGCUUCAAGUUUAUGCAAGACUGGAAAUUUUGUCAUGUGGCAGGCAAGAAAUGUUUUCCCUCAGGAGAAGGUAAUGGCAAGUGUUGGGAGAUACAGCUUUACUCAGAUGGUUCUUCUCCUGGUGCAUUUCUUCUUUUCAGCUGGCAACAUGGUUUGACACCACCUUCCUAUCCAAAGGAAUGCACAGCUGUUUCUAGUACUCAGAUCAAAGAGCACAGUUCCUGUAGCAAUAUUAAGCAUAUUAUCAUCAUCAUGUUUAAACCACCAAGGGGGAAAGGCUCCUUCAGUAGAAUAGGCUGUGUUAUUUCUUACUGAUCCACAAUUGCUAGUUUUUAAUUCACACAUUUAAUUACCUAUGUAGUUCUGAGCUAGGCUAUGGAAGGGUGGGUGAUCCAGUUGAAGGUCUGUUUAAAAGCAAAAUGAACAGGUUCUGGUUGUUCUGUUUUUAAAGCCUCCAGAAAGCUCUUGUAAUGAUGGAUCCUUCGACUUUCUUUUUGGUCCCUGCUGUUCCUAAGCAACAGAUGUAUGUAGACUGAUGCCAAAAAAGGAAGAAAAAAAACUCUUUUCUAUUGCUGCAGCAAAACUGCCCUACAUUGUAUUUUAAAAGGGACAAAAAUAAACUGUAAAAUGUUGCAUAAAAUGAGAAGUCCUACAGGCUGAUUUGGAAAAAGAUGAAAAACUUAAAAAGACAAGUACAGUCAAGUGCUGAAUGUGUCAGAACUACAGCCAGUGUUCUUCAGAAAUAGAGGUAGCAGACCCAGUUAGCAAAUGCUGACAGUGGACCACUUUGCUCUGCAUUUUAUUUAUUUUAUUAUUUUAUUUUUAGGACAAGUCCUGACAGCUCUUAGCCUAUAUUCCUCCUUAGUUAAGGGCCUCAAGUAACCCCUACCCAAGAUGAGGGUGUCACUUGGUUUUUGACAUUCUGCUAACCAUGAACUCACUAGGGUCACUCCAGUGUUCUCUACUUCACCCAUCUUCCUCAUCCUCACCUCUUAUUUCCUCUUCAGUCAUACAAUCGUAGGGACAGAAAGUCAUUUAGUCCAAAGGGAGGCAGAAAGUACAGAUCUGGAUCUAUUAUUAGAGCUCUCAAGUGAUUUGCAGAAGAUCAGGAAGGUUUCUGACACCUCUUUAUUGCAACAGCAACAUUACUCUUCCUCCACUCACACUUUUGCGCCAUUUGUGGUCAUGCUUUCUAAUAAAAAACAGAGAAGAUCCCCAAGCCUGAAGUUUACUCACCCCGGACCUAGUCAUGCUACAUCAGCAAAUCUGCUGCUACAAUGCCCACCUUUGCCUUCCUGGAUAGAGUCAGACUUUGACUUCCACUUCCAUGAAUUGUCUAAAUCCUGAGCAAGACUUGCUCACAAUCUUAGCCAAACCACUAGGCCUGCAGCCAUGCUGUAAGUGUGCUGGAAUACAGCUGCCAUCAGCCUGAUCUUGACAGCUGCACAAAGGACUCCAUGUCAUGUUUUAAAAUAUGCAUGCCAUCAGUUCUGCAGGGGACGGGGACAGCAGAGGACGAGUGCAGCACCAAGACUGACUUUGUCAGAACUUACAAUCAGCUGCUUGCUGCUACGGAUCUGUGCCAUGUCAAGGUAGCAUCCUUCUUUACAGAUGUUACUCAGAUCUCAGAUGUUGCUCAGAUGUUACUCAACUUAACCCUUUAGUAACUCCAUGUCAAUCUAGUCAGUUUAUCAACUAAAUACAUGUGAAAAUGGCCAGAGAACAAUAAAUCAUGACACAUGUUGUCAUGUGCAAGUAUAUCACAUUCAGCAUUCUACAUUGCCCAGGUGCUCUUUAGUCAUGCACAAAUGCUAAACUUCAAGUGUGGUUCAGAAACUAAAAAUGUAUGAACACUUUCUCUGGAGUGUUCAUUCAGCUGGGCUUGGAAAUUACAACCAAUUCUGACUCCCAUUAGAGUUACAGUUCACCUAUCACUAGCAAUUAAUUGAAUAUAUCUGAUCAUCUAAAAGAAAAGCCCCAGGCAGAUGUAAGGCCAAACCCACCAGCUUAAAUUUAGUCCACCAAAAUGUGUUCAAUUAAGUUUUUCAGACAAUGAGACAGGAUUAUCCACCAUGACUAUUAAAACAGCACAUAUUCUGCACUUACCAGUUUGACUAUGGCAAUGUGACUUUGUAUUUACUAUUCUAUAUCUAUAAGACGUCAUGGAAAGUUUUAGCUCGGGACAGUAGUCUAGCUGAAAAGUGACUUAGGUUCUUACAUGUUUUCAGGUGAAAGUGCACCUUUCCUGUGAUCUAUGUCAUACUUUUCUUACAAUUACAUGCUGAAGAACUGACAUUAUUUUUCAUUUUUUUCUAGUCCCUUUAAAAAAAAUCUUUAAUCUUUUAAUUUGCAUUGAUAUAGUAAAAAUAACCAGACAUAUAUAUACAACAAGCAACUGCCAACCUCAGCUCAGAAUGUUCUCAUACCAGAUUAGUUCAGAUGAAUAAAAAACUUUGAAAUACACACGUUCACUGCAGAAUGCUCUUCAGCUUUGUAUUAAUAACAGUAUUGGAACAACUGUUAUCAAAGAUUGCAACAGGCUGUACCUUAGUCCAAGCAGGAUUAUAAAUCACCUGAAAGAAAGUUUUGUAUUUCUGAGUAAAGAACAUUCCUGACUCCCUGCUCAGCUUGCACCUGAGUCUGUAUAAAAAGUAGGAACACAGAAAGUGUUUGAGGGCUAACAACCUUCAGUCCCUGAGAGUAAGACCCAUGGAACAAACAACCCAAAGAACCUGUGUCCAAAACAAACAACCACCCACAUGUACAGAACUGUGCUGCAAGUUAUCAAUGAAGAACCAACCACUCUCUACACCGGUUCGUUUCUGGCGAGCAACACUGAACAUGUCAGUUCUCACCAAUGUCACUUAAGAAUAAAGGUAAGUUUAUAUGUCAUGAAGCCAGCCCAAGGGCUGGCUGACUUCCCAGUGCUGAUUAUGUUAUGCGUAAUAUCAGUAAACACAGGACAUGACAGCUAUUGGGUUGCUGGCAGAUGAUUAUAUUCUCUUGCAAGUUUUCAGGAUGGAUUGACCUCAGGGUUCAAAUUCAGUUGCAACAAUGGAAGGACCUGACCUAAGGAAACUAAUGAGUAUCUACUCACAGGCGACGAUCAGUAAUCAAAAUGCAGGAAAAUAUGAUUGAGUCUCAUGUGAGAAACUUAGCCAUCUUCACGUAAUUCCUCUAAGGAAAUCACAAUUAAUUUGCAAAUAUAUGCAGGACAUUUAACAAGGGGUCUGUGUAAUUAUACUCUUCAGCACAAAUCAGAGUGAUUCAGCAUGCAUAUACUUGUCAAUAUGACAUUAAGUAUUUCACUUCCAUUUAGAUGUGGUCAAAAAGAGCAAGGUGUAAAGACAACACAAGAUGAGAGGGAACAUUGUGUUACACUCGUGGUACAAAGGAUAAUGAUUCCCUAAGUACCCAGAUAGAGUUAGGUGCCGCUUUCAUCAAUGCCGCUUAUGCAAUUCCAUAGGAUUAUGCUGACUGGUGACAUUUAAAGGUGAUCUUAGAAGAGAUCAAAGGAGUUUCUCAACAUGGAGGAAGAGCUUUCUCAUGUUACACUUCUGCUACUAAGGUACAAUGCUGCCUAUACUGUUUAAGCUUAAGCAACCUGCAGUAUCUUGUACUUCUGCUCAAGAAAAACUAACUUUGAUACUAUUGAAAAUAGUAUUGCAAUGAUACCAUGUUUGGGGUUUGUGUUUGGAGGGAAGGCAGGAGAUCACUCAGAGUCUGGAACAUUCAAGUAAGUAGGAAGGACUUGUUGACAGGACCAUGAAAUGACAGCUGGUUAUGGUGGGAAUUCUGUCAGUUGACAGUUGGAAGAAUAAAGAGAUGGUGGGUAGAAGUUAAUCCAUGGAAUAUGGCUUGGAAUAGAAUGAAGGGAAUACAAGUUUUCAAAGAAACUCAUUCUUAAAGGGUCUAAGCACCCACUGUAAACUUUAUGCCUACACAGCUGUGAAAGGUUUCCAUCCAUCCAUCCCUUAUUAUCUAUACACAAACCAUUACAAAAACCAAGCAAUAGCUAAGAAAAGCAGAAUGUUAUCAUUCCCUGUUGGAUAAGAGACAAGAACAUAUUACUAAUUUACAUUAUUAGCAAAAUGUGAAAGAAAGACAGACAGGAAAUAGGUUUCUGGUUGUCAGGGAAACCCAGUAGGCCAAACUGUGAAACAAGCUGAAUAGUUUGCUCUGCUUUUAUACUUAAAUGAGCAAAUGACUAGAAUAAGUUCAGCACAUGCAUUUCUUAGAAGGAGCCACAGCCUGGGAGAAAGAUGCACUGCAGCUGUCAUUGCUGCACAGAACUAAAAAUAAUAAUUAAACCACAAGAUUUGAACAGAAGUCCAAAUCCAAAUGACAUCUAAAGGUUCCGUCAAACAUACUUCAUUAAAAGCUGACUGCAAAGAAGCUUAUCAAUGCUGUUAAAUAAAUAGUGCUUGAGUGCCGCCUUGAGGAACAACUGGUGCCUGCAGAUCAAAGCAGCUUCUGCGGCUAAAUUCAGCUGUGUAUGUAAAGGGGCACUUCCUCGACCAAGAAAAGAAAACAGAAAAGGUAAUUCCAGUAUAAUCCCAGCCAGUGACUCUAGUUUAAGCUGGAUGAAAGCACAAACACAAAUGCAACUUGCAAACACACAUAUGCACAGAACUGUUCAUUUAUUGCUGUGCCCUCCUUCAGAAAAAAUACAUUUGUGUGCCUUACUUUUCUGCUUCUAAAACAAUAGGGUCUAGAUAUAACUAACACUUGUGAUUCUACAUAUGAAAAGAUACUUUUCACAGAAUGAAAUUGGAGACAGAGAUAACUGCAAAAACAUACUUUAGACAAGCUCAAUGCCUUGUUGACCUACCAGUGAAGGGAAAAAGGAACGUGAUAUGAAAAACAGCAUUAGUCAUGCAAACCUAUACCUAUCUACUCAAAAGUAUGCCACAGAGAUGCCAAUCGGACUUAUUCCCAGGUAAGGAGGUAGAGAAAGGCAGCCUACCUUUCUCAGGAAGAUGAACUAAAUACUGGACUACUGCUGUAGUUUGUAAUUUAAAGAAACUACAAUGUUUCUGGGAAACAUCUCCGUUUCACAGAAACCGGAGAUUCACAGUGAACCAGUGGUUCAUAGAAACCACCAACCUGAAAACUCUCUACAAAAGUGAAGAUGAAAGAAAACUAGUAGAUGUACUCAGAAAUUGGUGGGGAUGCACUUUUGGGGUCUGGUUUUGCAAGAAAUCCAUAUCUGUAACUGUGAUUUGAAAUGAGCUCUGAGAUGGAAUUUGGGGUCAUCUGGCAAGAUUAAGCUUUGCUGGUUUGCACAUCCUUUGAGGGAGGACUACAAAAAUAUCUCCUUCCAUAAAGUUCCUUUCACUUACUGUUUUCAGGAUCUAGGCCCUUUACUGAAUUUUUUAAAAAAUAAUGCUUGUGUUUUACUCCCUAUAAAUAGUAUUUUAUUUUGCUUGAUCUUAAAGAAAUGCUCUGCUUCUCCAGCCUCAAGGUCUGAAAUAAUUUUUGUUGAGAUAUUAUUUUUCCAUAUCAAACUGGAGUCCUGUUGCUGUUGGGGAUGGCUUUUCAGUUCUUUUCUGAUUGUAAAGUAAAAGCAUUUUCCCAUUUAUCUCUUUUGGGAGCAGUAUUACAGUCAGAUGCAGAUAAGCUACUGCCUCCCCCAUACGUUUGUCUGGAAAUAGGGAAGAGCUUUUUCCUCUAAGUGCACUUUCGGCCACUACUAUUGUUCAUCUAUGUGAACAGUUCUGUACGGCCAGACUGGGCAUAUUCACCAUUUGGAACAAUGUUUUCCCUUUGGCAAGGAAUAUGAAAAAAGACCGAACCUGACUGCAAGCUGCAGGCUUGCUUUUACUUUCUAUGAGGGGAGUAACAGGCCUUUUCAAGGCAAAAGAACAACUAAGAAGGUUCAUUCAUUUCCCUGCUUUGUACUUUCCCAGGUUGUUCUAUUCCAAAAGGGACAUGUCUUCCAUUUUUUAAAGUUUCUGAGGAAUGCUACUUUGAUGUCUCUUAUGAGAUAGAGCACUGUUCUUCUGAGUGCUUUGCAAGAAAAUGUCCCUGAUCGCUUUGGAAGAUAGUUACCCAAUAUGUAAACACUUUCUAGGUUGAACUGCUACCUCAGUGAAUGACAAUUUAGCAGUUGGCAUGGGGACAAUGGCUGAAUCCAGUACACAAGUAAAGAUAGGCACGGGUACGUUUUCGGCUGUCUUUGCUGCUUGCUUAUUGCAAACUGAAGACAUUCAAACUCUGAAUUUUGGACUGUGUGGAUAGAUGUUGAAAUGACAUCUAAGCCAUUGCAUGGUAGUGUUACAUGUGAUGUUUCCAUUCAUUAAGGGAUCGGACAGAACAGCAAAAGAAAUGAUGAGUAGCUGUGAAGGAGCAAUUCUAACUAUAUGGCUGUUGGGUCAUUUGUUUAAAAAAUCUGUCUUGACAAGUUGUCACCCAGAGACAGGAAGAGACUGUAUUAAACUGUCUGAGCUACAGAAAAUAAUCUCUAGGGGUAUACCUUCAUUGACCAGAAUUAGUUCAUUUCUAAUACUAGAAAUGAAAUCUAGAGAACUGAGAGAAAAAUGGUUAACACAUAGGCUCCUUGUCAUGCACCAUAUAAUCCAUCUCAGUAAUUUAGGGAUGGAAAAAUCUGCUGCCCUCCAACAUUUUUAGACUCCAACUCCCAUGAACUCCGGGAGUAAUAUAGCAAUAUAGCUACCAGUCAGGUAUUCAAAACACCUGGAGGGCAUGUGUUGGUUCCAAGUUGUUUGUAUUCAUACAGAUAUUCUGUUUUGAAUAUUACUGGGUUUUAUGCCCUAUCAAUUCUAUAUUUUAAAAAAAACUAAUUAGGCUGUACACAUUCAUUCAGGAGUGAGUCCAACUUAUUUAUCAUUCUGAAUUAUGUUUAGGAUUGUGCUGUAAAUUGUGAAUACUCUAGUGAGUAAAUGGCUAUACAUCGUGUAUCAGAGAAUCAAAAUCUGAAAUGAAGAGUAAGUCCUUGCUCACAUAUAUCCAUCAGCUAAAGCCAGUUGCUCUUGUCCUGCCAGAUGUUACCUAUGGUUCCAACCCAAAGUAGCAAUGUAUCCAGUAUGCUCAGAGACCCACAUGAAUGCUAGAAUCUCAUGGAGGACCUGAGGGGUUUUACAAGGACAAAUGAAAUGCAAAAGCUCAAAUAAAAACAUACUAAAAA
Molecule: long non-coding RNA, 12478 nt
Organism: Varanus komodoensis (Komodo dragon)
Lineage: Eukaryota; Metazoa; Chordata; Lepidosauria; Squamata; Varanidae
Exons: 3
Source: RefSeq, a predicted model, not a curated record